AAGCAACAUGGUACAGAAGUUUUUAGAAUUGGAUCAGGUUUUCACAGCACGACAACUCAGCACAGAGGACAAAUGUUGAGAAAUAUAUAGUUCGUCUACCAUUAAAGGCCUUAUUUGACCCCACAUAGGUGUUCAAGGGAAACAUUAGGCCCUGGAAAGGAAACUUGCCCAGCGGCCAGAUUUUAGUAAACGGUGGAAAACAGUGAAGGGGAACACACCAGGAUCAUCGAGCGUUGAAGGUAACUCUCAGUCUCCGCGUGCACCGAUCCCCAACAAGCUGUGAUCAUGGAAGACCGUCCAACUAUAAAGUUGCGCGUCGAAUACGUCUCUUAGCGCAAAACCUCUAACGGGAGGUCUUUGAGUGACAUUCUAUGCACGGGUCCCGCCCUACAAAACGAUCUUGGAGGAGUCAUACUCAACUGGCGUCUCCAUCGGUUUGUCUUCGUAGCCGAUAUAGAAAAAUGAAUCGCUGCAUAGAUAUGCAAGAAAAAGAUGCCCAUUAUCAGCGAACUUUCUGGCGCUCACCGCUCUGCAAUCCGCAGGCAUGGAGCUUUAUAAGUGGACAUCAAACCUCUUAAAAAGCGUCCCCGCUGCAGAUCUCUCUAACAGUAGCAUUUAUGAGAUGGACAAUGAGGACCCAUUAAAACUUUAGAGUAGCACGCUUAUUCGAACCGUUGCACAGUGGUUCCGCUUGUAUGGAAGCGCGGCCAAAAAUGCUUUUAAUGGCAUUAGAGGGCUGAAAGUUUUACCAAGCUUCGUAAAUAGUGAUUGUAGUUGAAAAAAUCCGCCAACCAGUGAACCCCA
Drosophila subpulchrella is the source of this 804-nucleotide long non-coding RNA. RefSeq lists it as uncharacterized. The record is from RefSeq and is a predicted model, not a curated record. The transcript has 3 exons. NCBI's taxonomy places the organism in Eukaryota, Metazoa, Arthropoda, Insecta, Diptera, Drosophilidae.